ACGGGUGAGUAAUGCUUCGGAAUCUACCCAGUAGUGGGGAAUAACUAACCGAAAGGUUAGCUAAUACCGCAUACGUCCUACGGGAGAAAGCGGGGGUCGCAAGACCUCGCGCUAUUGGAUGAGCCGAAGUCGGAUUAGCUAGUUGGUGAGGUAACGGCUCACCAAGGCGACGAUCCGUAGCUGGUCUGAGAGGACGACCAGCCACACUGGAACUGAGACACGGUCCAGACUCCUACGGGAGGCAGCAGUGGGGAAUAUUGGACAAUGGGGGAAACCCUGAUCCAGCGACGCCGCGUGUGUGAAGAAGGCCUGCGGGUUGUAAAGCACUUUUAGUGGGGAUGAAAAGUUCAGGGCUAAUACCUCUGGAUCUUGACCUAACCCACAGAAAAAGCACCGGCUAACUCUGUGCCAGCAGCCGCGG
This 421-nucleotide ribosomal RNA is filed under the name uncultured bacterium. RNAcentral's name for it is "bacterial SSU rRNA". It matches the Rfam family "Bacterial small subunit ribosomal RNA", at positions 102 to 520 of the family's 1533-position model. The record is from RNAcentral.